Molecule: ribosomal RNA, 254 nt
Filed under: Klebsiella pneumoniae
Lineage: Bacteria; Pseudomonadati; Pseudomonadota; Gammaproteobacteria; Enterobacterales; Enterobacteriaceae
Description: partial 23S ribosomal RNA
Rfam family: Bacterial large subunit ribosomal RNA
Source: RNAcentral
GGACCGGAGUGGACGCAUCACUGGUGUUCGGGUUGUCAUGCCAAUGGCACUGCCCGGUAGCUAAAUGCGGAAGAGAUAAGUGCUGAAAGCAUCUAAGCACGAAACUUGCCCCGAGAUGAGUUCUCCCUGAGACUUUAAGUCUCCUGAAGGAACGUUGAAGACGACGACGUUGAUAGGCCGGGUGUGUAAGCGCAGCGAUGCGUUGAGCUAACCGGUACUAAUGAACCGUGAGGCUUAACCUUACAACGCCGAAG